UGUUUUAAAAUUAUAAGGAAAUUUUCGAAUAUUUUAAGGUAGAAUUUUAAUUUUUGGAAAAAACAUUAAAUUAAAACAUAAAAUUUAUAUAAUGGACCAGGAUUAGAUACCCUGUUACUUAUAAUUAAAAAAUUUUGGAAUAGUAAUAAUAAUGAAAUUUAACGGAUUUGGCGGCAAGAUAGCCAUUUAGAGGAACCUGCCCUGUAAACGAUGAACCACGAAAUACUUUACUUUUAUUUGUUAUCAGUUUGUAUACCGCUGUUGUCAGUCAGUUUUUCUAGAAAUCUUUCUACUAUGAUAAAAUCAAAUACUUCAAGUAAAGGUGCAGCUUAUGUAAAAGAUAGAGGUGGGUUACAUUUAUGAAGAUUAAAACGAAUAAAGAUUUUUUGAAAAAUACUUUUGAAGGUGGAUUUAAAUGUAAAGUUUAAAGAAACUUGAUGUGAGCUCUAUCUUGUGUACACACCGCCCGUCGCUCUCUUUUUUAAAA
Molecule: ribosomal RNA, 487 nt
Filed under: Trevathana longidonta
Lineage: Eukaryota; Metazoa; Arthropoda; Thecostraca; Balanomorpha; Pyrgomatidae
Description: partial 12S small subunit ribosomal RNA
Source: RNAcentral